GCCCGGUUAGCUCAGUUGAUAGAGCAUCAGACUUUUAAUCUGAGGGCCAUGGGUUCGCGUCCGAUAUCGGGCU
This 73-nucleotide transfer RNA is filed under the name Paramuricea clavata. It matches the Rfam family "tRNA". Rfam says of the family: Transfer RNA (tRNA) molecules are approximately 80 nucleotides in length. Their secondary structure includes four short double-helical elements and three loops (D, anti-codon, and T loops). Further hydrogen bonds mediate the characteristic L-shaped molecular structure. tRNAs have two regions of fundamental functional importance: the anti-codon, which is responsible for specific mRNA codon recognition, and the 3' end, to which the tRNAs corresponding amino acid is attached (by aminoacyl-tRNA synthetases). tRNAs cope with the degeneracy of the genetic code in two manners: having more than one tRNA (with a specific anti-codon) for a particular amino acid; and 'wobble' base-pairing, i.e. permitting non-standard base-pairing at the 3rd anti-codon position. Lineage: Eukaryota; Metazoa; Cnidaria; Anthozoa; Malacalcyonacea; Plexauridae. The record is from Rfam by way of RNAcentral.